CACCUUUAGAAACGAGCCAUCUACAUUUCCCACGAUAUCCAGAAUUCAUAGCGAUUUCAGGACGUAGUACCGCAUCAGUUGACGUGGAGAAAUAUCAAAAUGUCUGCGUUUGUAGCCAGCACUUCCAGACAGAGGAUUUUGAAACUGGUUGCCAGGUGAUGCUAUUCCAUACGUUUUCCACCUCACUUCCAAGACGAAGGCAUCCAAUCAGCCAACAUCAGCACUGCAGAAAAUAAAUCAAGCUGAGAGUCCCAUCCCAUCAACAUCUGCCACGGCAUCAACAUCAGGCUCAGCACCAGGAACUACUACUAAUCUCGCUGCUGAUAACAAGGACCUUGACACCAGCUUUGGUAGUACAGAGCCUGCACUAUUUGGAUGAAAGCUUUCAGCCGGGGAACAAGCUCAAGCUCAACAUCAUCUGACUCUGAAACAAACCAGGACAGCCACUGGAGACUCGCAGUACUAACAAAUCUUCUGCAAGAGGUCAAAACAGUGGGGGUGGGUGAAGAAAGUGUACAAGCCUAGAACCCACCUCUUCAUUCAGGGAGAGGCUUGUCCACCUGGUUGUGGAGUGCAGAAAGGACCAGACGGUUGUCGACAAGGAACCAGAGUCACAGCUCCCUAAACCUAACAUCUCUGCCAACAUCACCACAGCACCAAAGCCCGCUAAACCAGCUGCCAUUAUCCAACAGAAGAAGGAGGUGCACCAGCUGAAGAGCAUUCUGGAACCUGCCUGGAACAUUCAGAGUUAUUGUAGUAUAAUAUAGAAUACCUAGUAUGCUCACAACUGCAUUGUGGUAUAGAUAUGGCUAGUUCUAAUGGUGUUUUAUAUAAUAUGUUGUAUAAGUGUACUGACAAGUGACCAAAUGAUUCCAGCUGCAUAAGAAACCAAUAAAGUGUCGACUUGAA
Molecule: long non-coding RNA, 909 nt
Organism: Salvelinus namaycush (lake trout)
Lineage: Eukaryota; Metazoa; Chordata; Actinopteri; Salmoniformes; Salmonidae
Exons: 4
Source: RefSeq, a predicted model, not a curated record